This 293-nucleotide long non-coding RNA is filed under the name Gossypium barbadense (sea-island cotton). RNAcentral's name for it is "long non-coding RNA (GBAR_LNC019925)". Lineage: Eukaryota; Viridiplantae; Streptophyta; Magnoliopsida; Malvales; Malvaceae. The record is from RNAcentral.
AAAUACAAAGGAAAAUAGAAAAUUUUCUUUUUGAAUACAAAGGUUUUUUUCUCUCUAUAUUACCUUGAGGAUUAUCGUUCUUUUGUUUUUCAUUUAUACAUAGAUAUAUACAUAUAUACAUAUAUAUAUUUGUAGUUGCUUUAUUUCUUUAUUUAUUUUUGCUUAAAAUAUAAAAAAAAGGAGGAAAGGGCUUACUUCUCACGUCGGAAUCGCCGGAUUAGUGUCGUCUCCAUCGCAAUCGGAGCAUCGGCAAGAGUGAACGGCGGCGUCAGGGGGCUGGGGUUAAAAACCCA